AUGAACACUGUUUAAAGAAUUAGAGCAAUCUAAUUGCUCUAAUUGCAGGACGAUAUCUUAAAAACCAUCUCAACAGGCUCUGUGUGUACAGAUUAUGAUUUUUCCUGAUGACACAUGCUUCAUGCUCAGAUGUGGGAGAUCACAGGGAAAGCCUGGCUGUGUUUGGGAACCAACGCAUCACUGGCACUUCAGUGUCACUUGACAUGUCCCAGGCCAUGGAGUGACUCCUCUGUGAACCAUCCAGGAUCUGUCCAUCUGCUUCACGUCCUAUUUUAGAAGCUGUGAAUGAAGGCACAAAAACUGAAUUGAAUAAAUGCUCAAACAGAGGCACUCUGCUAACGUUAAUCACAGCAUGCACGUUCAGCUAUCCGUGGUCCCCAGCUAUUUUCCACCAGUUAUCAGUUAAGAGGACAAUAUUACCUACAGGACAUCCCAGCACUCAUUACUGCAAAGUCUGUUCCUGGAAGGAAAAGGACACACUCCCUGGGGAACCAUCACACGACAUGAAGUGGAGUAACAGAACCAGUGAGGCCACAGAAGCAAGUGAGAGAUUUCUGAGACAGCUCAAGGUUUUUAUGGAAAGAAAUGGAAUUAAGGAGCAUGGUGACAAGUCACAGAGCUGGGACUGAGGCCUACUGAAGCUGGAGAGGUAGAGGAGGGAGAAGGAGAUUUUUCAGUACAUCCCUUAUAAUGCCUAAGAGAAAAUACUAAAGAAGCUCAACGUGCUGUCCUGCCUCUUGGCCAAGAGUGUCUGUUCUGUGAUUCCAAGCUGUGGGAUGCUCGGUUUGCAGUCCAACAUCUUCUUGUUUUCUCCUUUGCUUAUCAACAUCCUUAGGUUUCCUGGGCUUCCUCUCUUGAAUCCAGCCCCCAUCUGUAUCUUCAUAUCAUCCUGAAAACAAACACAGCACCAAUCUGAAAGGAAUGUUUGAAAAUCAAGAGCAAAGCUUGUAGAUUUUCAUAAGGAUCUAGAAUGUUUGACCUAUCUUCCUCCCACUUGGUUACUUCUCUCCUUUUAAUAAAUCAAAUAAAACUGUAUGAGCACUGCAUUUCAUCU
Gallus gallus (chicken) is the source of this 1054-nucleotide long non-coding RNA. The record is from Ensembl. Lineage: Eukaryota; Metazoa; Chordata; Aves; Galliformes; Phasianidae.